GGUUGAUCCUGCCGGAGGCCACUGCUAUCGGGCUCCGACUAAGCCAUGCGAGUUUAGGGGCUCCUUCGGGAGCACCGGCGGACUGCUCAGUAACACGUGGACAACCUGCCCUCGGGUGGGGGAUAACCUCGGGAAACUGAGGCUAAUACCCCAUAGGCCUCGGAUACUGGAAGGUUCCGAGACCGAAAGCUCCGGCGCCCGAGGAUGGGUCUGCGGCCUAUCAGGUAGUUGGUGGUGUAAAGGACCACCAAGCCUGCGACGGGUACGGGCCCUGAGAGGGGGGGCCCGGAGAUGGACUCUGAGACACGAGUCCAGGCCCUACGGGGCGCAGCAGGCGCGAAACCUUCGCAAUGCGCGAAAGCGCGACGAGGGGAGCCCGAGUGCCCUUCCUUUCGGGAGGGCUUUUCUGGAGCCUAAAAAGCUCCAGGAAUAAGGGCUGGGCAAGACGGGUGCCAGCCGCCGCGGUAAUACCCGCAGCUCGAGUGGUGGCCACUAUUAUUGAGCCUAAAGCGUCCGUACCCGGACCCGUAAAUCCC
Molecule: ribosomal RNA, 536 nt
Filed under: uncultured archaeon
Lineage: Archaea
Description: bacterial SSU rRNA
Rfam family: Archaeal small subunit ribosomal RNA
Source: RNAcentral